AGCGAACGCUGGCGGCAGGCCUAACACAUGCAAGUCGAACGAACCUUUCGGGGUUAGUGGCGGACGGGUGAGUAACACGUGGGAACGUGCCUUUAGGUUCGGAAUAACUCAGGGAAACUUGUGCUAAUACCGAAUGUGCCCUUCGGGGGAAUGAUUAAUCGCCUUUAGAGCGGCCCGCGUCUGAUUAGCUAGUUGGUUGAGGUAAUGGCUCACCAAGGCGACGAUCAGUAGCUGGUCUGAGAGGAUGAUCAGCCACAUUGGGACUGAGACACGGCCCAAACUCCUACGGGAGGCAGCAGUGGGGAAUCUUGCGCAAUGGGCGAAAGCCUGACGCAGCCAUGCCGCGUGAAUGAUGAAGGUCUUAGGAUUGUAAAAUUCUUUCACCGGGGACGAUAAUGACGGUACCCGGAGAAGAAGCCCCGGCUAACUUCGUG
Molecule: ribosomal RNA, 434 nt
Filed under: uncultured bacterium
Lineage: Bacteria
Description: partial 16S ribosomal RNA
Rfam family: Bacterial small subunit ribosomal RNA
Source: RNAcentral